RNAcentral lists this ribosomal RNA (444 nucleotides) under uncultured bacterium. Its description in RNAcentral is "partial 16S ribosomal RNA". It matches the Rfam family "Bacterial small subunit ribosomal RNA", at positions 354 to 796 of the family's 1533-position model. The record is from RNAcentral.
GUAGGGAAUAUUGGGCAAUGGUCGGAAGACUGACCCAGCCAUGCCGCGUGCAGGAAGACGGCCCUCUGGGUUGUAAACUGCUUUUAUCUGGGAAGAAAAAGGCCAUGCGUGGCAAAUUGCCGGUACCAGAUGAAUAAGCACCGGCUAACUCCGUGCCAGCAGCCGCGGUAAUACGGAGGGUGCGAGCGUUGUCCGGAUUUAUUGGGUUUAAAGGGUGCGUAGGCGGCUGAUUAAGUCAGCGGUGAAAGACUUCGGCUUAACCGGAGCAGUGCCGUUGAUACUGGUUGGCUUGAGUGUCGGAGGGGUACAUGGAAUUGAUGGUGUAGCGGUGAAAUGCAUAGAUACCAUCAGGAACACCGAUAGCGAAGGCAUUGUACUGGCCGACAACUGACACUGAUGCACGAAAGUGUGGGGAUCGAACAGGAUUAGAUACCCGAGUAGUCC